GAUGAACGCUGGCGGCGUGCUUAACACAUGCAAGUCGAACGAUGAAGCCCAGCUUGCUGGGUGGAUUAGUGGCGAACGGGUGAGUAACACGUGAGUAACCUGCCCUUAACUCUGGGAUAAGCCUGGGAAACUGGGUCUAAUACCGGAUAGGAGCGCCUACCGCAUGGUGGGUGUUGGAAAGAUUUAUCGGUUUUGGAUGGACUCGCGGCCUAUCAGCUUGUUGGUGAGGUAAUGGCUCACCAAGGCGACGACGGGUAGCCGGCCUGAGAGGGUGACCGGCCACACUGGGACUGAGACACGGCCCAGACUCCUACGGGAGGCAGCAGUGGGGAAUAUUGCACAAUGGGCGAAAGCCUGAUGCAGCGACGCCGCGUGAGGGAUGACGGCCUUCGGGUUGUAAACCUCUUUCAGUAGGGAAGAAGCGAAAGUGACGGUACCUGCAGAGGAAGCACCGGCUAACUACGUG
This 466-nucleotide ribosomal RNA is filed under the name uncultured bacterium. RNAcentral describes it as "partial 16S ribosomal RNA". It matches the Rfam family "Bacterial small subunit ribosomal RNA", at positions 28 to 507 of the family's 1533-position model. The record is from RNAcentral.